RNAcentral lists this ribosomal RNA (584 nucleotides) under uncultured bacterium. Its description in RNAcentral is "bacterial SSU rRNA". It matches the Rfam family "Bacterial small subunit ribosomal RNA", at positions 102 to 682 of the family's 1533-position model. The record is from RNAcentral.
ACGGGUGAGUAAUGUCUGGGGAUCUGCCCGAUAGAGGGGGAUAACCACUGGAAACGGUGGCUAAUACCGCAUAACGUCGCAAGACCAAAGAGGGGGACCUUCGGGCCUCUCACUAUCGGAUGAACCCAGAUGGGAUUAGCUAGUAGGCGGGGUAAUGGCCCACCUAGGCGACGAUCCCUAGCUGGUCUGAGAGGAUGACCAGCCACACUGGAACUGAGACACGGUCCAGACUCCUACGGGAGGCAGCAGUGGGGAAUAUUGCACAAUGGGCGCAAGCCUGAUGCAGCCAUGCCGCGUGUAUGAAGAAGGCCUUCGGGUUGUAAAGUACUUUCAGCGGGGAGGAAGGCGAUGCGGUUAAUAACCGCGUCGAUUGACGUUACCCGCAGAAGAAGCACCGGCUAACUCCGUGCCAGCAGCCGCGGUAAUACGGAGGGUGCAAGCGUUAAUCGGAAUUACUGGGCGUAAAGCGCACGCAGGCGGUCUGUUAAGUCAGAUGUGAAAUCCCCGGGCUUAACCUGGGAACUGCAUUUGAAACUGGCAGGCUUGAGUCUUGUAGAGGGGGGUAGAAUUCCAGGUGUAGCGGU